This 21-nucleotide microRNA is filed under the name Zea mays. Its description in RNAcentral is "zma-miR171a-5p". Its record names the gene zma-miR171a-5p. The record is from miRBase by way of RNAcentral. Lineage: Eukaryota; Viridiplantae; Streptophyta; Magnoliopsida; Poales; Poaceae.
UAUUGGCGAGGUUCAAUCAGA